UAUUAAGGAUGACCAUUAUCCCGAACCUGAUUCCUUUAAGAUUGACAACCCUAUCGGAUCUGACUUCUGAAAU
RNAcentral lists this small nucleolar RNA (73 nucleotides) under Salmo salar (Atlantic salmon). RNAcentral's name for it is "Small nucleolar RNA SNORD50 (ENSSSAG00000091194.1)". It matches the Rfam family "Small nucleolar RNA SNORD50". From Rfam's summary of the family: U50 belongs to the C/D class of snoRNA which contain the C (UGAUGA) and D (CUGA) box motifs. Most of the members of the box C/D family function in directing site-specific 2'-O-methylation of substrate RNAs. U50 is an intronic snoRNA gene located on chromosome 6q15, at the breakpoint of chromosomal translocation t(3;6)(q27;q15). Lineage: Eukaryota; Metazoa; Chordata; Actinopteri; Salmoniformes; Salmonidae. The record is from RNAcentral.